RNAcentral lists this unclassified non-coding RNA (1743 nucleotides) under Hevea brasiliensis (rubber tree). The record is from RNAcentral. Lineage: Eukaryota; Viridiplantae; Streptophyta; Magnoliopsida; Malpighiales; Euphorbiaceae.
GAUAUAGAUAGUUCAAAAUAUGAGGUAGGAUUAAUGUUACCAUUACGCUCAAUUAACUCAUAAUUAAGCUUUUCUUUUUCAUAUUUUGCAGCAUAACUAAUUAACAAUUACCUCUUUUCAUGUAUAAAAUAAAUAAAUAAAUAAAAUAAACAAGCGCAGCAUUUGGACCUAUACCCACUCCAGGCACAAGUAAAUGGCCCCAUGUAACACAGUGAGAAACUUAAGUGUCCAAGAUUACCCUUGCCAUGUGCUAUUGUAUCAGUGCUUCAUCUUCGUAACCAUUAUUGGUUUCACCUUCAUCGCCUGUCUAUAUCUAUUCUCUAUUCCAUCUUUAAUUCUUUUAUGGAAUGAAUCAUCUAGAUAUUUGCCCUCUCCCACUGAACCCAUUGCAUCACAAACCAGCUUAUACGUAUACUCUCUAGGUAUCGAGCCCCGAUCAACCAACUCAACUAUAAAAUCCCAAGCCUCCUGCGACCUUUCUGCUUGGCACAAGGCAUGUAUAAUUGGUGUAUAAGAACUUGAAGUGGCCAAUCCAUGAUUCAUCUUCUGCAUCGUCCUUAACAUCUCAACAGCCUUAUCAAUCUCAUUCACUGCACUGUAAUAUCUAAUGAAAGAAUUAUAAGUAACCCGGUUUGGAAUACAGCCCCUUCUAUUCAUAUCCUCAAAAAGCUCCAGAGCCCUCUCAAUUCUAUAAGUCUUGCAACACCCAUCAAUCAAACAAUUAUACGUAACAACAUCGGGCACAUAACCUUUAAACAGCAUAAGCCUAAACAAAUGGUUAGCCUCCCAUAGUCUCCUCCUUAUAGCCUUUCUACACCCAGUUUGCAAACUGUACUUGCAAUAAGAACUAAUCAAUAUAGUGUACGUAUACGCGUCCGGUGGGCACAAAAAGCCUGGUAACUCCAUCUGUUCUAACAAGAACCUCGCCUUCUUAAAAUUCCCAACCCGACAGAGAGCGUAAAUAAUUGUAUUAUAAGCAUACACAUCCGGUUUACAAUGAUACUGCUUCAUUCGAUAAAACAAAGCCAAUGCCUCAUUCACCAGCCCUUCUUCUCCUAGGACUUUUAUCAAACAGGUAACGGUAUUAGUAGUCACAAGUUUUAAACCAACGUCAUUCACUCUUCUUGCCAUGUCUUUAAGAAACUGCCACAGCUUCUCCAGUCUAUUUCCUCUAGCCAAAACGCAAGCCAUCUCUCUACACGUCAUUUCAGUAUGUGCAAAGCUAAAAUGAGUUUCUACCCAACCAAAGAAUUCCACUGCUUUGUUUAAGCCAAGAUUGACCCUUUUUGGGUCUCUAUAAGCAGCUGGACCGAGAAUGAGAACAUUGGUGUGGUAUUUGCGGGAUUCUUGCUUGAGGUUGCGCUGUUUUAAAGGAGAACGGUGGCGGGUAGUUUUCUGGCGGCCAAUGGAACGCGUGGAUAGGAAGAAGAAUUUUGGGAUUGAUCGGAGAACAUCAGAGACUAAAUCGACGGUCAAUAAACUAGAGGAAGUAAUAGCAGAUGCGAGUUGGGUAUCAAACGGGCGAUUUUGGAUCAUAAUGGACAGCACUUGGUUCAUUAGAAGAGAAGAGCGGUUGGCGUUCAGAGGCUUUGAGGGGAUCAUUCUUUUUGGGUAACAGAAGCUUUAAUUAAGCUAUUACUUUGGUACCAUGACAUGAAUGGAAUGAUCAAAGAGAAAAUGUUGCUUCCCAUUAAAUUAUAAAGACUAUGAACACAAUGCAGAGUUUCAGUUUAGAUACAUACU